CUUCACCGAACCCAGCCAGAGCGGCCGGUCGGCGGGGCGGUCCGGUCCGUACGCGGCCAUCAGCGCCUGCGCCUC
Molecule: non-coding RNA, 75 nt
Organism: Micromonospora echinospora
Lineage: Bacteria; Bacillati; Actinomycetota; Actinomycetes; Micromonosporales; Micromonosporaceae
Source: Rfam